UACGAAGGGGGCUAGCGUUGCUCGGAAUCACUGGGCGUAAAGCGCACGUAGGCGGUUUGUCGCGUCUGCCGUGAAAGUCCGGGGCUCAACUCCGGAUCUGCGGUGGGUACGGGCAGACUAGAGUGAUGUAGGGGAGACUGGAAUUCCUGGUGUAGCGGUGAAAUGCGCAGAUAUCAAGAGGAACACCAGUGGCGAAGGCGAGUCCCUGGACAACACCUGACACUGAGGCACGAAAGCUAGGGGAGCAAACAGG
Molecule: ribosomal RNA, 253 nt
Filed under: uncultured bacterium
Lineage: Bacteria
Description: partial 16S ribosomal RNA
Rfam family: Bacterial small subunit ribosomal RNA
Source: RNAcentral